CUUGCUUGGGGACCAGGGGGCUCCCGGCUGAUGUAGAUGGCAGCGGGAAAAGCAAGCCGGGGCGUCCCCCGUACCCCACGGCCCCCAGCCCACCAGCCCCGACUGCCUACGAACCCAGGACAAACCAGGGCAAAGUUCUCUUUUCAGAUCCACCCCGAGGACUUGCUGCUGCAAAGCAGCUGGUUGCCAUCCACAGCAGCCUGCUAGCCGCGGCUCCCCACCCACCACUUCCUCCUGGUCUCCACCAGCCUUUGCCUGGACCGUGCAUUCCCCUCGCCGCGAACCGAAACCGUCCCAGCCCGGAGGCCUCCGGCCAACUUCUUUGUGCCAUCCUUUAGGAUACCUUGGGUUAGAAGCGUUGUCCUAGGGGCCUGGGGAGCGCAGUCAGAUUUGAAAGGACUCUCAAAUAUCACCUAAUUCAACUUUGGCCUACUGCACUCAAGUCCCUGAUGUCAUGCUUCCUAGUAAAUCUUCAACCAGGUUCUCCUGCCAGCCCUCCAGAGUCAGGAUGCUCACGACUUCCCAAGGAGGUCCACUGCGUCUCCGUCGGCUCUGCUCAUAGGAAAAUGCUUUCUUGUAUUACAUGUGAGCUUGCCUCUCUGUGACUUCCAUGCUUUAGACCUGGUUCUCUCCAGCUGAAACGCCCGCGACAAAUUCGUUCUCUUUCCCAUCUGGAAGCCUCUUCAGAAGUGUGGAUGCAGCUUAUCAGUCUAUCUUCCAGGCUGAACAAGUAUAUCUAAUAUUCCCCUUAAGACAAAGUCUCAAGUCCUCUGACCAUCCCAGGAGGAACACCUGUUAAAGCGAUCCUCCUAAAAUCGGGUGCCUUGAAAUAAAUGCAACGAAGAUA
Mustela lutreola (European mink) is the source of this 847-nucleotide long non-coding RNA. RefSeq lists it as uncharacterized. NCBI's taxonomy places the organism in Eukaryota, Metazoa, Chordata, Mammalia, Carnivora, Mustelidae. The record is from RefSeq and is a predicted model, not a curated record. The transcript is spliced from 3 exons.